GACGAACGCUGGCGGCGUGCUUAACACAUGCAAGUCGAGCGGUAAGGCCCUUUCGGGGGUACACGAGCGGCGAACGGGUGAGUAACACGUGGGUGACCUGCCCUCAGCUCUGGGAUAACCCUGGGAAACCGGGUCUAAUACUGGAUAUGACUCCAUGACGCAUGUUGUGGGGUGGAAAGCCUUGUGCGGCUGAGGAUGGGCCCGCGGCCUAUCAGCUUGUUGGUGGGGUGANGGCCUACCAAGGCGACGACGGGUAGCCGGCCUGAGAGGGCGACCGGCCACACUGGGACUGAGACACGGCCCAGACUCCUACGGGAGGCAGCAGUGGGGAAUCUUGCGCAAUGGGCGAAGGCCUGACGCAGCGACGCCGCGUGAGGGAUGACGGCCUGGUU
This 392-nucleotide ribosomal RNA is filed under the name uncultured bacterium. RNAcentral describes it as "bacterial SSU rRNA". It matches the Rfam family "Bacterial small subunit ribosomal RNA", at positions 28 to 424 of the family's 1533-position model. The record is from RNAcentral.